CCUACGGGAGGCAGCAGUAGGGAAUAUUGCUCAAUGGUGGUAACCCUGAACCAGCAACGCCGCGUGCAGGAUGACGGUUUUCUGGUUUUUAACUCCUUUUUUUACAGCAGAUAAUUACGUUAUCUGACGCAUACUCACCGUCUCACUCCGUUCCAGCCUCCGCGGUUAUACGGAGGGUGCAAGCGUUACUCGGAAUAACUGGGCGUAAAGAGCGCGUAUGCGGGAUAGUAGGUCAGAUGUGAAAUCCUUUGGCUUAACCAUAGAACUGCAGUUGCAACUGGUAUUCUAGAGUAUGGGAGAGAUAGGCGGAAUUCGUGGUGUAGGGGUAAAAUGCGUAGAGAUCAAGAGGAAUACCGAUUGCGAAGGCAACAUGCGAGAACAUAACUGACGCUGAUGCGCGAAGGCGCGGGGAGCAAACAGGAUUAGAUACCCGAGUAGUC
Molecule: ribosomal RNA, 440 nt
Filed under: uncultured bacterium
Lineage: Bacteria
Description: partial 16S ribosomal RNA
Rfam family: Bacterial small subunit ribosomal RNA
Source: RNAcentral